Molecule: unclassified non-coding RNA, 1326 nt
Filed under: uncultured Neocallimastigales
Lineage: Eukaryota; Fungi; Neocallimastigomycota; Neocallimastigomycetes; Neocallimastigales
Description: partial contains small subunit ribosomal RNA, internal transcribed spacer 1, 5.8S ribosomal RNA, internal transcribed spacer 2, and large subunit ribosomal RNA
Rfam family: Eukaryotic large subunit ribosomal RNA (bases 615-1326)
Source: RNAcentral
UUUCCGUAGGUGAACCUGCGGAAGGAUCAUUAAUAAAUGGUCUAGAGCAUUAAGUAGACUCAUCCUAUCCUUUGUGAAUUUGUUGUUUUGAAAUAAUUUUUUUUUAAAAUUAUUGAUUGUCUUUCCUGUUGAAUUGGUUGUCGUAAUGACAAGUGAUUCGCAGGGGAGUAGUCAAUAAUUUUUAAAAAGACCUUUUUUAAAUUAAACUUUUUGUAUUCAUUUGUCUAAAAUUAUUUUAUAAUAUAAAAACAACUUUGACAAUGGAUCUCUUGGUUCUCGCAACGAUGAAGAACGCAGCAAAAUGCGAUAAGUAGUGUGAAUUGCAGAAUACGUGAAUCAUCGAAUCUUCGAACGCAUAUUGCACUUUUCUAGUUUACUAGAAAAGUAUGUCUGUUUGAGUAUCAGUAAAAUAUUCUCAUAAAAACUUUUUUUUUUAUGGUUAUGAGUGUUUACAACGAUACAAGUUGUUUCACUUUAAAUUUUUUUAAAAUUUGAAUUUUUCUAAUUUUAAAUACAAAUUGGAUAAAAUUUUCCCGUAAAAAAGGAAUAACCUAAACAAUUUAAACUUUUGAUUAGAAUUUUUCAUUAUAAAGGAAAAUUUAACUAAAAUAACUUGAUCUCAAAUCAGAUAAGAGUACCCGCUGAACUUAAGCAUAUCAAUAAGCGGAUGGAAAAGAAACUAACAAGGAUUCCCUUAGUAACGGCGAGUGAAGCGGGAAGAGCUCAAAUUUGAAAUCUUCAAGGUUUUACCUUGACGAAUUGUAGUUUAAAGAAGUGUUUUCUGUUGAAGUUUUGGUAAAAGUUCUUUGGAAUAGGACAUCAUAGAGGGUGAGAAUCCCGUAUUUGACCAUUAUUUUCAGCUUUGUGAUACACUUUCAAAGAGUCGGAUUGUUUGGGAAUGCAGUCCAAAAUGGGUGGUAAAUUUCAUCUAAAGCUAAAUAUUGGCGAGAGACCGAUAGCGAACAGUACCGUGAGGGAAAGAUGAAAAGAACUUUGAAAAGAGAGUUAAACAGUACGUGAAUUGUAAAAAGGGAAGCGUUUGACACCAGUGUUGUUUUCUCGAAAAUCAAUUAAAAGAGUUGAUUUUGUUGUUGUAUUGACCUUAACAGCUUGCAUUUCAAUUUUCUUGCUUUUUUUAAUGCACUUUCGUUUAACAAGUCAACAUCAGUUUCUUUUGUUGUAAAAAGGUCUUGGAAGGUGGCUUUCUUUUCGGAGAAAGUGUUUAUAGCCUUUGACUCUGCAAUCGGAGAGACUGAGGUCUGCAGCGUAGAUCCUUCGGGGUUAGAUACAUUUGUGCUAAGCUAUAGCUUUUAUAGACAACUUGUU